Acanthosepion pharaonis is the source of this 114-nucleotide non-coding RNA. The record is from the annotation of a GenBank genome assembly. NCBI's taxonomy places the organism in Eukaryota, Metazoa, Mollusca, Cephalopoda, Sepiida, Sepiidae.
UUACGGCCACAUCACGUUGAAACAUUGGUUCCCUUACGAUCUAUGAAGUUAAGCAACGUAGUGCCUGGUCAGUACUUAGAUGGGUGACCGCUUAGGAAUACCAGGUGCUGUCAG